This 405-nucleotide ribosomal RNA is filed under the name uncultured Devosia sp. Its description in RNAcentral is "bacterial SSU rRNA". It matches the Rfam family "Bacterial small subunit ribosomal RNA", at positions 354 to 776 of the family's 1533-position model. The record is from RNAcentral. Lineage: Bacteria; Pseudomonadati; Pseudomonadota; Alphaproteobacteria; Hyphomicrobiales; Devosiaceae.
GUGGGGAAUAUUGGACAAUGGGCGAAAGCCUGAUCCAGCCAUGCCGCGUGGGUGAUGAAGGCCUUAGGGUUGUAAAGCCCUUUCGGCGGGGAAGAUAAUGACGGUACCCGCAGAAGAAGCCCCGGCUAACUUCGUGCCAGCAGCCGCGGUAAUACGAAGGGGGCUAGCGUUGUUCGGAUUUACUGGGCGUAAAGCGCACGUAGGCGGAUCGUUAAGUCGGGGGUGAAAUCCUGGAGCUCAACUCCAGAACUGCCUUCGAUACUGGCGAUCUCGAGUCCGGAAGAGGUGAGUGGAACUCCUAGUGUAGAGGUGGAAUUCGUAGAUAUUAGGAAGAACACCAGUGGCGAAGGCGGCUCACUGGUCCGGUACUGACGCUGAGGUGCGAAAGCGUGGGGAGCAAACAGG